ACUGCACUGCCUGCUCACAGGUCAAUGCUGCCUCUUGGCACAGAUAGAAACCUCCAGGGAUUCAACUAAAAGGCACGUUGCCCUUUGAACACCUGGAAGGGACUUCACUGAAACAAAACCUCACCAACAGUACCAUUACCUGCUGAUCAUGGUAUGUAUGUUCUUGGGAUGUGUAGAAGCUUCUACUACCUGGACUGAAAGAACAUCAAAAGUAGUCUGGCACCUGCUUAGGGGGAAGUUCCCAGAUUUGGAUUUCCUACCAGCAUUUGAUCGGACAAUGGCCCGGCUUUCAUAGCUGAUUUAGUAUAACAAGUAAGCAAACCUUUAAACAUCAAGUGGAAAUUACAUACAGCAUAUUAUAGGCCCCAGAGUUCUGGGAUGGUGGAAGGAAACAACUGGACACUUAUAGAGACACUCUCCAAUUGGAUCAUAGAGACUGACUGCUCCUGGGUGGGCUUGUUUCCGAUGGCUCUGCUCAGACUCAGGAUGACCCCACAGUCCCAUGGCUAUUCUCUGUAUGAAAUUGUGUAUGGGAGGCCCCCUCCCAUAAUAAAACAGGUGUCAACAAAUUUGCCUCAGGUAAGGGGAGAUGAGAUUUCACAGCCGAUGGAACAACUGGGUAAAGUAAUAAAUCAGGUAACUAAGUUUGUACAAGAAAGGGUGCCGUUCUCCCUUGGGGAACAGAUUCACGAAUUUGUGCCUGGGGAUCAGUUGUGGGUCAAGGGCUGGAAACAUGACUCAUUGGCCCCACGUUGGAAGGGUCCAUAUACUGUUGUUCUAACAAUUCCUACAGCAGUUAAAGUUGCAGGUGUCACUCCCUGGAUCCACCACAUGAGGAUGAAGAGAACAUACCACGCAGGUCCAGAAACUGCUGAGUGGACUGUGAAGAGGGACCCCACUGACCCUCGAGAUACUAAGAUCAUCCUUAAGAAGAAGGAAAAAAAGAUCCCAGAUGAGCUCCUUUAGGAUGAAGCCGCAUAAUCACCUCCUGCUGCUUGGCCUCAUCAACGUGAUUUUGAAUUUAACUUCCGUUUCAACUCAGGACAAUGUUUUCAUCUCAUGGGCACAUUCCUACAUGGACUUCCACAACACCUCCAACUGCUUGGUUCAUUCCAGUGCACCAGCCCUGAGCACUCUGCCUCAUGCAUCGAACGUGGACUGGCAGUCUCUUUCAUAUAUGUUUGGCUGUUGGGAGCUGUCUCAGACUUCCUUCAAGAGUUUUUAAGGACCAUCUCAUCUCAUUUGAGCCAACAAACUGCUUUCCUAGCCUGAAAGCGGAAGCAUGCCUUCUGUUUUAUGGAGUGUUUGGCACAGUGAGCUUUGGAAGUGAAACAUUGUUGAAUACAACGCUUGAUCUUGUCCAUGCUACUGAUGAGGAAAAAGCAGCUCUAGGAAAAAUCCAGGAUUGCUACAAUGAGGCGGGAUUAACUGACAAGUUUUUGGAUCUGCUACUCAUGGCUUCCAUCAACUUGAGUACGGAUUGCAUCAAACAUUCAGUCUCCUCGGUGGUGAAUUCCAUUUUUUGAGCUAUAUUCAGUGUGCUCUCUUUGUUGACAUAGUCUUUGCCAGCGAUGCCUCAUCUACACUUGAUCUUCCUGAACUUUUUCCCUCUCAACUGAAGUUGGAAUCUAGACACCUGUCCCCCCUGAUGUGGUCUUUAUCAGAUUGACUCUAAUAAAGUAACUGCAGCUUUG
Non-coding RNA from Odocoileus virginianus texanus, 1694 nucleotides. The record is from RefSeq and is a predicted model, not a curated record. Lineage: Eukaryota; Metazoa; Chordata; Mammalia; Artiodactyla; Cervidae.